AGAGUUUGAUCCUGGCUCAGAUUGAACGCUGGCGGCAUGCCUAACACAUGCAAGUCGCACGCGAAAGGGGGCAACCCCGAGUAGAGUGGCGGACGGGUGCGUAAUACGCAGGAAUCUACCCACGAGUGGGGGACAACCCGGGGAAACCCGGGCUAAUACCGCAUGAGACCUACGGGUGAAAGCGGGGGAUCGCAAGACCUCGCGCUGGUGGAUGAGCCUGCGUCCGAUUAGCUAGUUGGUAGGGUAAAAGCCUACCAAGGCAACGAUCGGUAGCUGGUCUGAGAGGACGACCAGCCACACUGGGACUGAGACACGGCCCAGACUCCUACGGGAGGCAGCAGUGGGGAAUAUUGGACAAUGGGGGCAACCCUGAUCCAGCAAUGCCGCGUGUGUGAAGAAGGCCUUCGGGUUGUAAAGCACUUUCGAUGGGGACAAACGUGUCGGGCUUAAUACGUCCGGCCUUGAUGGUACCCAGAGAAGAAGCACCGGCUAACUCUGUGCCAGCAGCCGCGGUAAUACAGAGGGUGCAAGCGUUAAUCGGAAUUACUGGGCGUAAAGCGUGCGUAGGUGGUUGGAUAAGUCAGGUGUGAAAUCCCCGAGCUUAACUUGGGAAUUGCGCUUGAUACUGUCCGGCUAGAGUGUGGUAGAGGGUAGUGGAAUUCCGCAUGUAGCGGUGAAAUGCGUAGAUAUGCGGAGGAACAUCAGUGGCGAAGGCGGCUACCUGGACCAACACUGACACUGAGGCACGAAAGCGUGGGUAGCAAACAGGAUUAGAUACCCUGGUAGUCG
Molecule: ribosomal RNA, 789 nt
Filed under: uncultured bacterium
Lineage: Bacteria
Description: bacterial SSU rRNA
Rfam family: Bacterial small subunit ribosomal RNA
Source: RNAcentral